Molecule: transfer RNA, 69 nt
Filed under: Elephantulus edwardii (Cape elephant shrew)
Lineage: Eukaryota; Metazoa; Chordata; Mammalia; Macroscelidea; Macroscelididae
Also listed under: 1 other name
Description: tRNA-Ile
Rfam family: tRNA
About the family: Transfer RNA (tRNA) molecules are approximately 80 nucleotides in length.
Source: RNAcentral
AGAAAUAUGUCUGAUUAAAGAGUUACUUUGAUAGAGUAAAUAAAAGAGGUUUAAAUCCUCUUAUUUCUA